This 599-nucleotide ribosomal RNA is filed under the name Colletotrichum gloeosporioides. RNAcentral's name for it is "eukaryotic LSU rRNA". The stretch from base 231 to 384 matches the Rfam family "5.8S ribosomal RNA". The record is from RNAcentral. Lineage: Eukaryota; Fungi; Ascomycota; Sordariomycetes; Glomerellales; Glomerellaceae.
UAGAGGAAGUAAAAGUCGUAACAAGGUCUCCGUUGGUGAACCAGCGGAGGGAUCAUUACUGAGUUUACGCUCUACAACCCUUUGUGAACAUACCUAUAACUGUUGCUUCGGCGGGUAGGGUCUCCGCGACCCUCCCGGCCUCCCGCCUCCGGGCGGGUCGGCGCCCGCCGGAGGAUAACCAAACUCUGAUUUAACGACGUUUCUUCUGAGUGGUACAAGCAAAUAAUCAAAACUUUUAACAACGGAUCUCUUGGUUCUGGCAUCGAUGAAGAACGCAGCGAAAUGCGAUAAGUAAUGUGAAUUGCAGAAUUCAGUGAAUCAUCGAAUCUUUGAACGCACAUUGCGCCCGCCAGCAUUCUGGCGGGCAUGCCUGUUCGAGCGUCAUUUCAACCCUCAAGCUCUGCUUGGUGUUGGGGCCCUACAGCCGAUGUAGGCCCUCAAAGGUAGUGGCGGACCCUCCCGGAGCCUCCUUUGCGUAGUAACUUUACGUCUCGCACUGGGAUCCGGAGGGACUCUUGCCGUAAAACCCCCCAAUUUUCCAAAGGUUGACCUCGGAUCAGGUAGGAAUACCCGCUGAACUUAAGCAUAUCAAUAAGCGG